Molecule: long non-coding RNA, 682 nt
Filed under: Malus domestica (apple)
Lineage: Eukaryota; Viridiplantae; Streptophyta; Magnoliopsida; Rosales; Rosaceae
Description: long non-coding RNA (MDOM_LNC018691)
Source: RNAcentral
UGAUAUAAUUCUGAGGCUAUGCUUGAACCCCUACACGAACUAGGCAUGGUGGGAAUGACUUAACUAAGUACAAUGACGCCAACAUGAUAUAAUUCUGAGGCAUCAUUUUCUAGAGGCCAAAUAAGAUGGGUACUUGCAAGAGGUUGUUGCAAAUGAGUAAGUGUACUCUCUCAUUAUUAUUAACGCUAGCCAACAUGAUAUAAUUCUGAGGUGGGCUUGGUAAUAGUGAGCCUCCCAUAACCUACUAGGAGUUUCAUCCAAAACUCUCGAAUUCCAAUGAGGGAUAUGGAAUUUGCCAAAAAUAGUGGGUGGUGCUAUUUUGAUUUAAAGACCCGAAUCAAAUGGCUUAAAAUCAAUCAAUUAAUAUUCGUUAUGUAUUUGUUUACCAAUAUAUUUGCAAACGCUAUCCAACACUUGACAAAUAAAAGCCGAAAGUUUAGUUUCCGGACUUAGUACUACAAAACCAUAGAUUGUCUUUAAUGGCUUGUAAAUGUACCUAAGUAGUCUCAUCCUCACAAUCUUCCUAUUGAUAAAGUAUCAUUAGAAGAAUAUGUUAGAAAAGUCUAUCAUAAAGAGGACAACAAUUUUAAAUGUCAUAAUUCUUCAAUUACAAAUUGUUGUAUGAAGAAAUAGGAGUUGCUUUGAACAACUCUUAGUCAAUGCAAACACUUAGUGCUUGUUU